This 2835-nucleotide long non-coding RNA is filed under the name Homo sapiens (human). RNAcentral's name for it is "HSALNT0202749". Lineage: Eukaryota; Metazoa; Chordata; Mammalia; Primates; Hominidae. The record is from RNAcentral.
GUCAUGUUGGAAAGCAGUAAAAUACUGAGUUUGUAAAUGAAAAUAUUACUAGUGUGAAGGAUCAACGCUCAACCUAAUGAGAAAUGGGGAGAAAGGCAAAUGAAAGAGGGAUCCAAGAUUAUUCAGGACACCCUUGUGGGUAAAAAAACUGAAAGAAGAGAUUCCUAUUGAACAGAAACAAAACUGAAGACAGUGUUUUUAACUCUACAAUCUUUUACGCCCAUGCUGUUCUGCGAAAAAACUGUAACAACAAUAACGCAUAAGCGUUAAAGGAACCAGGCCCAGAGCCAGGCCCUCUGUGCUCAACAUUCAACUCCACCACUUUCUAGCUAUGUCAUUUUGGGAAAGUUACUUAACAGCUCUUUGCCUCAGUCUCCUCACCUGUAAAAUGGGGUGUAUAAUAACACAAGUGCCUUUAAAAUCAGGAGGGGCUUCUUCAAAGCACAGUUGUGAUUAUAUCCCUCUACUGAUCAAAAACUUUAUUCACAAAAUCAAAUCCACAUCUUUCACGAACCAUAUAGAUCUUGUGUAGGUUCUGCAAAACAAUAAGCGCUUCCCUGUGUCAUCUCCAGCAGCUCUGUGCUAGAAAGCCUUUUCCUUACCAUCUUUCCAAGUCCACUUUAGGAAAGUAACUCUCCCUCCCAUUCCACAGUGCACUCAUCUGUUCCUCUGUACGUACGGUUUAUCACUAUUCCCCCUGGUUUUGUUUGGUCUUUUAAUGCCUCACUCUUUCUCCUAAAGCAGUAAUUGCAGAGAGCCGUUGCAAAUCUUUUUCAUCCCCGUUCCUACCCUUCAUCCCAGAAUGUGCCUGUGCAAGCCUGGGAAAAGCGUUACUGAAUUAAACGGGAUGAUUACAACCGUAAUGGCCGCAAUUCCAGAAACUGCCUAAUUUCGCAUAAUUUUGUAUUGUUUUCAAAUCCUGAAAAUCUUGACACGAAAGGCCUCUUAAAAUCAGAACACCAUCCUUUCAAGAAAAGUUCUACCGAGCACCCCCACGAGUUGACAUUGCGGUCAUUCUUAGCUCCAGAAGUUGUGUGUGUGCCGCGGAAGGCAGAUUCACACUGGUCCACACUGUACUUUGAAAUAAGGGAAACAACAACAAAAAAAUGAACUUCAUCAAAAUUAAACUUUUGGCUUCAAAGAACACUAUCAAGAAAGCAAGAUUACAACCCAAGGAAUAUAAGACUAUAUUUACAAAUAAUAUAUCUGAUAAGAAACUUGUAUUCAGAGCAUACAAAGAACUCUUACAAUUAAAAAACAGCAACCCAAUUUAAAAAUGAACAAAGGAGUUGAAUAGACAUUUCUCCAAAGAAGAUAUACAAUUGCUUAAUAAGGAGGUGAAAAGAUGCUCAACAUCAUUAAUCAUUAGGGAAAUGCAAACCAAAAUCACAAUGAGAUACCACAAGGAUAGCUAAAGUUAAAAAGAAAGAAAAUAAAUAGCAUUAGCAAAGAAAUUAGAAUGCUUAAGCAUCGCUAAUGGGAAUGUUAAAUGGUGUAGGUGCUUUGGAAAACCGUAGAGAAGUUGUUUGUGUGUGUUUUUCUUUAAGAAAACAUUGAGUUACCCUAUGAUCCAACAAUUCCACUCAUAGGUAUAUAACCAAGAGAACUGAAAAUAUGUCCACACAAAAACUUCUACACAAAUAUUCAUAACAGCAUUAGUUGUAAUAGCCCCCAAAUGGGAAUAGCCCAAAUGUCCAUGAACUGAUGAAUGGAUGAACACAAUGUGGUAUAUCCAUAAAUGGAAUACUAUUCAACCAUGAUAAGGAAUGAAGUACUAAUAUCAGUUACAACAUGCAAGAACCUUUAAAACAUUAUGAAAGAAGCUAAAGCUAAAUGAAAGAAGCCAGUCACAAAAGGGCCACAUAUUGUAUGAAAUGUUCAGAAUAGGCAAAUCCAUAGAGGCAGAAUAUAGAUUAGUAACAGACAGUGAAUAGGGGGAGGAGAAAAUGAGCAGUAAUUACUAAUGAGUAUGGAGUUUCUUUUUGGGGUGACUAAAAUAUUCUGGAAUUAGUGGUGAUGGUUGAGCAGCUCUGUGAGUAUACUAAAAACCACUGACUUCUAUAAUUUAAGAGGGUGGCUUUUAUGGUAUGUAAACCAUAGCUCAAUAAAACUGUUAUAUUUUUAAAAAGUAACUCCCAUCACUUCUGUUUAGUUUCGUUAGUCAAAGAAAGCCACAAAUUACUCCAACAGGCCAAGGAAGUGCAAUCCUUCCUUACAUGUGCUUAAAAGGGAAAUGGAAACAUUUGUUGAACAGUACUAAUGACUACAACAAGGCCCCCAGCCUUCACGAGGGUAUGAGUCUCAGAGUAGGCCAGUCGUGAUCUUACACCCUCCUGCAUACAAUGAUUGGUCCACUAGUGGUCAUAUAACAUAGGCAGGCCAACCAGCCCUUUUAUGGAAUGAAUGUAUGUUACAGGCAGAAACAUCUUGUGAUUACUGAAUAGGAGGAUGGGAGACUGGGACUGUCAGAAGCCAUCCUAUCAGCUUUAUGGAGAGAGCCUGCAUCCAGUUGUGACUGUUCAACCUCGAGAUUUUCAAGAUGCAGAAGAACUUUGCUUAAUGCCAUGUUGUUAGCUGCCCCGUGGAGAGGCUCACAUUGCAAGGAACUGCAGCUGGACUCUGGCCAACAAUCUACAAGAAAACUAAGCCCUGCCAAUAACCACAGGAAUGACCAUGGAAGUAGAUACUCCUCCAGAUGAGCCCUGAGAUUUCUGCAGCCCAGCUGACAUCUUGAUUGCAGUCUGUGAGAGACCUUAAAGCAGAGCAUCCAGCUAAGUCAUGGCCAGAUUCCUGACACGACACAAACUGUGAGAUAAUAAAUAUUGUUGUUUUAAG